This 762-nucleotide ribosomal RNA is filed under the name Prevotella melaninogenica. RNAcentral describes it as "bacterial SSU rRNA". It matches the Rfam family "Bacterial small subunit ribosomal RNA", at positions 28 to 776 of the family's 1533-position model. The record is from RNAcentral. Lineage: Bacteria; Pseudomonadati; Bacteroidota; Bacteroidia; Bacteroidales; Prevotellaceae.
GAUGAACGCUAGCUACAGGCUUAACACAUGCAAAGUCGAGGGGAAACGGCAUUUAGUGCUUGCACUGAAUGGACGUCGACCGGCGCACGGGUGAGUAACGCGUAUCCAACCUACCCAUUACUGUGGGAUAACCUGCCGAAAGGCAGACUAAUACCGCAUAGUCUUCGAUGACGGCAUCAGAUUUGAAGUAAAGAUUUAUCGGUAAUGGAUGGGGAUGCGUCUGAUUAGCUUGUUGGCGGGGUAACGGCCCACCAAGGCGACGAUCAGUAGGGGUUCUGAGAGGAAGGUCCCCCACAUUGGAACUGAGACACGGUCCAAACUCCUACGGGAGGCAGCAGUGAGGAAUAUUGGUCAAUGGGCGCGAGCCUGAACCAGCCAAGUAGCGUGCAGGAUGACGGCCCUAUGGGUUGUAAACUGCUUUUGUAUGGGGAUAAAGUCAAUCACGUGUGAUUGUUUGCAGGUACCAUACGAAUAAGGACCGGCUAAUUCCGUGCCAGCAGCCGCGGUAAUACGGAAGGUCCGGGCGUUAUCCGGAUUUAUUGGGUUUAAAGGGAGCGUAGGCCGGAGAUUAAGUGUGUUGUGAAAUGUAGACGCUCAACGUCUGACUUGCAGCGCAUACUGGUUUCCUUGAGUACGCACAACGUUGGCGGAAUUCGUCGUGUAGCGGUGAAAUGCUUAGAUAUGACGAAGAACUCCGAUUGCGAAGGCAGCUGACGGGAGCGCAACUGACGCUUAAGCUCGAAGGUGCGGGUAUCGAACAGG